RNAcentral lists this long non-coding RNA (2702 nucleotides) under Nicotiana tabacum (common tobacco). Its description in RNAcentral is "long non-coding RNA (NTAB_LNC018477)". Lineage: Eukaryota; Viridiplantae; Streptophyta; Magnoliopsida; Solanales; Solanaceae. The record is from RNAcentral.
AACAGCCAUGAACAAAAAAUUGCUUCUACCGUUUAACAAGCACAAACGACCCCCACCCCCCUGAACUUGUCUUUUUCAACACACCCCACCUAACCUAGACACACCCUCCAGUCGUUACCCCUUUCCUCUACACAAAUAGAAAAUCCCUGAACUUCUACCGCCAGCGACCAUCCUUGAACUUUCAUCGGAAAAACACGCACACACACACAACUGUUGCUAGCCUCUAACUCAUUAAAAACAACAGCUAGACCAUUUGAAAACGACCACCAUUUCUAGAUCCAAAGCUCGAGCUAGAACCAGUCAAAAGUUUCGGUUACCAGCUCUGUGCCAUCCCGUUCGUGGUCGUCGAGUCUGUGUUCCGUUUAGGGUCAUUCUCUGGUUCAUAUUUUGAAGUGCAAUUUUGGAUUCAUCAAUAAAAUGUCCUUUUGACUAACUUGGAAGCAAACAGAAGUUCAUUUCGUGCCUCUUUUACAUGAUUAUUUGAAUGUGUUGAGUGAGUUGUUUGUUUAAUGUUGUUUGAUAUGCCUUAAUGAUUCUGUUCAUUUGCAUGCUAUUCCGAUUAGCUUGUUGGAUCCUUUCUGAUUAAGCUACUAUUUUAGUAUGCUUAAAAUUAGUUAGUUUGGUGAUGAUUUGUUUAUGUUGAUUUAAUGCUUUGAACAAUGGAAUUGUGAAGUCCAAGAUCAAACCUCUGCUCGUUUCAUUUUCUUCUCGCCAUAUGAAUCUGGGUUAUCAAAUAAAGUGAUUGAAUAAAAAGCCGUAGACUUUUGUGUAAUGUUUUGCUAGAGAAGUUGAUGAACUAUUUCAUUAUUGAAGUGAUUUAAUAAUUGUAGAUAUAGUCGUUGUUAAGUAUAUAAACAAAUGUUGUUACCUACUUUAUUACAAGUAAUUUGAGAGUAAAUAGGUCAUCGUGACUAUGGGUACGGUUUCCGUGACAUAGCCACGAAACGUAAAUCUCAAUUCGGGUGUGCAUUUCAUGUGACCCGACCAUAAUUUCGAAUAAUAAUAAUUAAAAUAAACAUGUUAUAAAUCUGGGUGUGCAUUUCAUGUGACUCGACUUCAAUUUCCAAUAAUGUUAAAUAAAAUAAACAUGCCGUGAACCACGGGUGCAUUUCAUGUAGCGUGAUUUACGAUUGAUUUUAAAAAAAAAAGUGUAUGACGAUAUUCAAUUUUCCUAAAAAUAUUAAAAGCGUCUAAAAAGUUAAAAAUGCACAAUAGGUUUAAAAUGUGUAUAAAAUCAGAUAAUUAGGCCAAUAAUAAUAGUUGAGCAACCGUGCUAAACCCACGGAACCCGGGAAUGCCUAACACCUUCUUCCGGUUUAGCAGAAUUCCUUACUCGGAUUUCUGUAUUCGCGGAGCAUAAUUAGAGUCAAACAUUCAUCGAUUCGAGAUUUGAACCGGUGACUUGGGACACCAUAAAUAUCCCAAGUAGCGACUCUGAAUUUUAAAUAAAAUAAUCCCAUUUUGAUUGUCACUUAAAUUGGAAAAAACUCUCUUAUACUCCCUUCGGGUGGAAGAAAAAGGAGGUGUGACAACUCUGGCGACUCUGCUGGGGACAAGAACCCAGAACCUCUGGUUCAGGAUUAAGAAUUCGAGCUUAGAGUAUCUGUUAUAGUUGGCUUUUUUGUUAUCUGAUUUUUAUAUGUUUGAGCCUAAUGUGCUAAUUGCCGCUUUUUACUGCUUUGAUAUUGUCUUAAUUGUAUAUAAACUGUUAUGAAACCCUCCUCUCUCUGAGUCUUCUAAAUCAUCUAGGAAGUGUUCACUUCGUGUGACUUCUCUUCUGUUAGAAUCAUAUCCCAAUUUUAGAACAAGGUUCGGACAAAUUGCAAAGCCGGUGAAGCUUCUGUAUUUCCGGUACGCUGCCCCCCCUCGGCUCGAGCUGUCUGCUCGGGUAAGCCAAGUCUAGACCAAAUAAACCCAGGUAGAACGUUUAUUUGAAUCACUUGCAUUUGACUUAGGGGACUCAACAGAGGGGUUGGGUCCGUCUAGGACAUGUGUACCAAAAAAAUAAAAAAGAUCAUCCUGAUGCAUCCUUUGUGCUACAUGUUGCAACCUUCAAGGGUAAAAGGAGCCAUUUGCCGAACCAAUGAGGUUUGAGGAUAAAUGAGAAAGAAAAGAGGUUGAACUGUGAACUUAACAAUAUUAACAAUUUCUAACAAUUAUGUUUUCUGUCACAUUUUUAUUAAGAAAAAAAAAACUUGAAAAAUUCAAAAAAAAAAAAGAUUUUGCACUUUUUCAUCAUUUUCCAAAAAUCAUAAAAUCAAAAAAAAAAGGAAAAAGGAAAAAAAAUCCAAAAAAAGUUUACAUGUUUCAUCAUUUUCAAAAAAAAAAAAGAGAUAACAAAUAUGUUUUCUUCAAAACAAUAUUUUUUUAUUUCUCGCCCGUAUCCAAUCUGCCCGAACUACGCAUACCUGAUUCUCAUCUCUCGGGGCGUGAUACGUAGGCAACCUACAUAGGGUUCGGUCUUCCUAGUGAGUCUUAGGUUUUUGGCUUCGCGGGGUCUUAGCCAAAUCUGGCAUUUUAGCCACUUUAGCAACAUAGGUUAAUUUUAGAAAAAUAGUCACAAUCAUGUGUCUAACAAGAAGGGUUAUUAUCUCACAUAGCGUUCUAGAUCUUUAACUUAUUUGGUUUUAAUUUUUUUCAUACAGGUGUGGGUUUGCUUACCAGAGUUUGAGCAUGACAGACGCCCGGGACAUCCAGUCAGG